This 615-nucleotide ribosomal RNA is filed under the name uncultured bacterium. RNAcentral's name for it is "bacterial SSU rRNA". It matches the Rfam family "Bacterial small subunit ribosomal RNA", at positions 57 to 655 of the family's 1533-position model. The record is from RNAcentral.
GCAAGUCGAGCGAUCGAUGGGAGCUUGCUCCCCUGAGAUUAGCGGCGGACGGGUGAGUAACACGUGGGCAACCUGCCUAUAAGACUGGGAUAACUUCGGGAAACCGGAGCUAAUACCGGAUACGUUCUUUUCUCGCAUGAGAGAAGAUGGAAAGACGGUUUACGCUGUCACUUAUAGAUGGGCCCGCGGCGCAUUAGCUAGUUGGUGAGGUAAUGGCUCACCAAGGCGACGAUGCGUAGCCGACCUGAGAGGGUGAUCGGCCACACUGGGACUGAGACACGGCCCAGACUCCUACGGGAGGCAGCAGUAGGGAAUCUUCCGCAAUGGACGAAAGUCUGACGGAGCAACGCCGCGUGAACGAAGAAGGCCUUCGGGUCGUAAAGUUCUGUUGUUAGGGAAGAACAAGUACCAGAGUAACUGCUGGUACCUUGACGGUACCUAACCAGAAAGCCACGGCUAACUACGUGCCAGCAGCCGCGGUAAUACGUAGGUGGCAAGCGUUGUCCGGAAUUAUUGGGCGUAAAGCGCGCGCAGGUGGUUCCUUAAGUCUGAUGUGAAAGCCCACGGCUCAACCGUGGAGGGUCAUUGGAAACUGGGGAACUUGAGUGCAGAAGA